GUUAGAAGUCCCACAUUGGCUAGAGAUAGAGCAUAGAUAACCUUUAUAAGGGUAGUGCAAACCUCAACUCUUGAGCUAGCUUUUGUGGUUGAGUAUAACUAAAAAUUAAUGGCAUUCAUGAUUAAAAAUAAAAAAAUCGUUUCUGUCUUAAUUCUUAAACAAAACAUACAAUUAAAUACUGUUAGAAGUCUCACAUUGGCUAGAGAUAGAGCAUAGAUAGCCUUUAUAAAGGUUGUGCAAACCUCAACUCUUGAGCUAGCUUUUGUGGUUGAGUAUAGG
Molecule: long non-coding RNA, 279 nt
Filed under: Lotus japonicus
Lineage: Eukaryota; Viridiplantae; Streptophyta; Magnoliopsida; Fabales; Fabaceae
Description: long non-coding RNA (LJAP_LNC000390)
Source: RNAcentral